GACGAACGCUGGCGGCGUGCUUAACACAUGCAAGUCGAACGAUGAACCCGGAGCUUGCUCCGGUGGAUUAGUGGCGAACGGGUGAGUAACACGUGAGUAACCUGCCCUUGACUCUGGGAUAACUGCGGGAAACUGUAGCUAAUACCGGAUACGACCCUCGGCGGCAUCGCCAGGGGGUGGAAAGAAUUUCGGUUAGGGAUGGGCCCGCGGCCUAUCAGCUUGUUGGUGAGGUAGUGGCUCACCAAGGCGACGACGGGUAGCCGGCCUGAGAGGGCGACCGGCCACACUGGGACUGAGACACGGCCCAGACUCCUACGGGAGGCAGCAGUGGGGAAUAUUGCGCAAUGGGCGAAAGCCUGACGCAGCAACGCCGCGUGCGGGAUGACGGCCUUCGGGUUGUAAACCGCUUUCAGCAGGGAAGAAGCCGCAAGGUGACGGUACCUGCAGAAGAAGCACCAGCUAACUACGUGCCAGCAGCCGCCGUAA
RNAcentral lists this ribosomal RNA (486 nucleotides) under uncultured bacterium. Its description in RNAcentral is "partial 16S ribosomal RNA". It matches the Rfam family "Bacterial small subunit ribosomal RNA", at positions 28 to 523 of the family's 1533-position model. The record is from RNAcentral.